Molecule: long non-coding RNA, 351 nt
Filed under: Lathyrus oleraceus (garden pea)
Lineage: Eukaryota; Viridiplantae; Streptophyta; Magnoliopsida; Fabales; Fabaceae
Description: Pisum sativum (pea) long non-coding RNA (PSAT_LNC039687)
Source: RNAcentral
GCGUCCCAGAAAUAAAUGUCCACAAUCCAUAGUCACCAUCAGUACCAAGAGUCACCAACAAGUCACCAACAAUCAGCAACUGUACCUGUAAAGAUCAUUCCCUCCCCACUCACAGGUGUCAUAUAGGCCAGGGUAAGGUCGAAAGAAACGCAGGAUAAACAACCCUUUCAAGAAUAUCAUCCUGUGCACACCCGAUGUAUGCACCGAUAAUACCCCAUCAGAGUCUGAACUGCUCGUGAUAUCAAUGUUCACCCUUUCAAGAAUAUCAUCCUGUGCACACCCGAUGUAUGCACCGAUAAUACCCCAUCAGAGUCUGAACUGCUCGUGAUAUCAAUGUUCCGCUAAGUGGCG